Long non-coding RNA from Bufo bufo (common toad), 162 nucleotides. RefSeq lists it as uncharacterized. The record is from RefSeq and is a predicted model, not a curated record. Lineage: Eukaryota; Metazoa; Chordata; Amphibia; Anura; Bufonidae. The transcript has 3 exons.
GACACUUUUUCGCAUAGUGUGCAAGCAUGGCCACCACUGAUGGAUUACAGGGUGGUCGUAACCAUGGAAACGAUCAGUGUAUAAUGUCAUGGAAAAACGAACUCAGCUAGCAAAGGAGGCAAUAUGGAUAAUAACAGUACAUUACAGAAGAGUCUCAAAAUU